This is a long non-coding RNA of Carassius carassius (crucian carp), 1632 nucleotides long. RefSeq lists it as uncharacterized. The transcript is spliced from 3 exons. NCBI's taxonomy places the organism in Eukaryota, Metazoa, Chordata, Actinopteri, Cypriniformes, Cyprinidae. The record is from RefSeq and is a predicted model, not a curated record.
UAAAUGAACUUGUUUUAUGUCCAAAAUAUUAUUUAAUAUCACUGAAUCAACCAAAAUAUAUUAAACUAACUUUACUUUAAAACAAAAGAGCAGCUGGAUCAUUCGGCUAAACUUCUCAUAGGGUUUUGGAUCAAAAUUAUGACAGAAUUAUCAAUUUGGGUUGACCUAUCUCUUUAAAAACAAGCACACAGAUGUACCUACCAGACCCCUCCCCCUCCCCGUCACCUCCCUCUCCUUUAACAAUCUCUGUAAACAAAGCGGAACCUAUGAAUGAAGGUGGAGAGCGAGCGAGGGAAUCGAAAGAGGGAAACGCAGCCAUGCAUCUCUCAGGAGAAACACAGUCAGGGAUGAGAGAACUGAGAAGAGAAAGACAUGGACAAGAAGAGGACGAGAGCUAAAGCGGAGAGAGAAAAAAAAGAACUCACAUCAUCUCUGUCAAAGCCUCUUUCGUUGGAUGUCGAUGUUGGCCUUGCUGCCCUCCCCCUCCGUCUCCCUCUGCCUCCUUCGCUCUCUACGGCAUUGCUGGAUCCACAAUCUACUGCCUUAUUCUACCACUUUCUACAACUCUCACACUCUUUCUGUCCUCCAGCAUGGUAGACUACACCACACCGCUGUUCAUUCAGAGCAUGUGUGUGAUGAAGAGAGAGAGAGAGAGAGAGAGAGAGAGAGAGAGGAGGGGAGAAAGAGCCAGAGCCAGAACGAGCAGAGGAGAGGGAGAAUCAGCAGGAUAUAGGGGGUAAGGAAGUGUGGAUAGUGGCAGAAGGCAUAUUUGUGCCUGUACAGUACAGUAUGUAUUUGUACACGUGUUCCCAUAUCUGUAUCGAUGCCAGAGAACUUGCUGACAUGUUUUCAGUGUAAGACUGCACAGCCGUGUUUGUGAGGACUCGUUCUGUGAACUUCUACCUGAAAUUAUACUGUACAUCCUUGACCCUAUUACGCAGAUCACUGGCCUAUAAAGAGAUCACGUGUGCUGGGAAGGGAAAAGGCGAGUGCUGCAGGGCGCUCAGGGACAGGGACGCUGGAAUUGUGUCACAGUUGAGCUCGCACAGACCGAAGGAAGACAAGGAGUAGAGAAGGAUGAUGCAGAGAGAGGAAGCUGCUAUUAAAAAUGACUCUGCGAGGGAAGGACAAUGAUAGAGGAGGUGAAGCGAUGCCAGAAAGGAUGCAGUGAUGUGUGGGGUUCUGGAAAUGUGGGGCUGAGAUGAGAACAGAAGAGCUGAGAGGCUGGAGAAACAAUAGAGACAGCUUGAUGAACAGAAAGAAAGAAUUGCCCUUCAUAGUCUGACCUCCAGAUGGAGUCACCACAGGGGUGGGAGGGUGAUGGAGAGAAUAUGAAAGAGCGCAGGGGGCUUCUGGGAUGAGAUGAGUGUGAACUCUCUUCAAGACUGGGACAGAAUGACAUCAUGAGGCAGCUUUAUGUUUACUGUGAGGUGCUAAUGAAAAAAGCACAGCAGUGUUAAUUUAGCAGCACACGACAGACUGAGAGAGAGUGAGUCAGAUUACAACAUUGCCACCAAAAACAGACAACACAGUCUUGCGCAAAGUGCUUAGUUUCAUGGUGCUGUCACUUAAAUUCAAAGGGUCUGGGACAAUAUUUUAAGUUCCACCCUUCUCCCUAAGGCCUAGUGAACU